GAGAGCUUGCUUUUUAAGCUUAGUGGCGAACGGGUGAGUAACGCGUGAGUAACCUGCCCUAGAGUGGGGGACAACAGUUGGAAAUGACUGCUAAUACCGCAUAAGCCCACGGUGCCGCAUGGUACUGAGGGAAAAGGAUUUAUUCGCUUUAGGAUGGACUCGCGUCCAAUUAGCUAGUUGGUGAGGUAACGGCCCACCAAGGCGACGAUUGGUAGCCGGACUGAGAGGUUGAACGGCCACAUUGGGACUGAGACACGGCCCAGACUCCUACGGGAGGCAGCAGUGGGGGAUAUUGCACAAUGGGGGAAACCCUGAUGCAGCGACGCCGCGUGGAGGAAGAAGGUUUUCGGAUUGUAAACUCCUGUCGUUAGGGACGAUAAUGACGGUACCUAACAAGAAAGCACCGGCUAACUACGUGCCAGCAGCCGCGGUAAAACGUAGGGUGCAAGCGUUGUCCGGAAUUACUGGGUGUAAAGGGAGCGCAGGCGGGAAGACAAGUUGGAAGUGAAAACCAUGGGCUCAACCCAUGAAUUGCUUUCAAAACUGUUUUUCUUGAGUAGUGCAGAGGUAGAUGGAAUUCCCGGUGUAGCGGUGGAAUGCGUAGAUAUCGGGAGGAACACCAGUGGCGAAGGCGGUCUA
Molecule: ribosomal RNA, 639 nt
Filed under: uncultured Lachnospiraceae bacterium
Lineage: Bacteria; Bacillati; Bacillota; Clostridia; Lachnospirales; Lachnospiraceae
Description: bacterial SSU rRNA
Rfam family: Bacterial small subunit ribosomal RNA
Source: RNAcentral